AAAUGAAUUGACGGGGGCCCGCACAAGCAGCGGAGCAUGUGGUUUAAUUCGAAGCAACGCGAAGAACCUUACCGGGUUUUGACAUCCGCUAAAAGCAUGAGAAAUCAUGUGUGUCUUCGGACGAAGCGAGACAGGUGGUGCAUGGUUGUCGUCAGCUCGUGUCGUGAGAUGUUGGGUUAAGUCCCGCAACGAGCGCAACCCCUACGGUCAGUUGCAAACAGGUCAAGCUGUGCACUCUGGCAGGACUGCCGUGGAUAACACGGAGGAAGGUGGGGACGACGUCAAAUCAUCAUGCCCCUUAUGACCCGGGCUACACACGUGCUACAAUGGCCGUGACAAAGAGAAGCGAAGCCGCAAGGCGGAGCGGAUCUCAGAAAAGCGGUCUCAGUUCGGAUUGUGGGCUGCAACCCGCCCACAUGAAGUCGGAGUUGCUAGUAAUCGCGAAUCAGCAUGUCGCGGUGAAUGCGUUCCCGGGCCUUGUACACACCGCCCGU
RNAcentral lists this ribosomal RNA (494 nucleotides) under uncultured bacterium. RNAcentral describes it as "bacterial SSU rRNA". It matches the Rfam family "Bacterial small subunit ribosomal RNA", at positions 903 to 1397 of the family's 1533-position model. The record is from RNAcentral.